RNAcentral lists this ribosomal RNA (497 nucleotides) under uncultured bacterium. Its description in RNAcentral is "partial 16S ribosomal RNA". It matches the Rfam family "Bacterial small subunit ribosomal RNA", at positions 28 to 507 of the family's 1533-position model. The record is from RNAcentral.
GACGAACGCUGGCGGCGUGCCUAAUACAUGCAAGUAGAACGCUGAAGAGAGGAGCUUGCUCUUCUUGGAUGAGUUGCGAACGGGUGAGUAACGCGUAGGUAACCUGCCUGGUAGCGGGGGAUAACUAUUGGAAACGAUAGCUAAUACCGCAUAAAAUUGAUUAUUGCAUGAUAAUUAAUUGAAAGAUGCAACUGCAUCACUACCAGAUGGACCUGCGUUGUAUUAGCUAGUUGGUGAGGUAACGGCUCACCAAGGCGACGAUACAUAGCCGACCUGAGAGGGUGAUCGGCCACACUGGGACUGAGACACGGCCCAGACUCCUACGGGAGGCAGCAGGAGGGAAUCUUCGGCAAUGGGGGGAACCCUGACCGAGCAACGCCGCGUGAGUGAAGAAGGUUUUCGGAUCGUAAAGCUCUGUUGUAAGAGAAGAACGGGUGUGAGAGUGGAAAGUUCACACUGUGACGGUACCUUACCAGAAAGGGACGGCUAACUACGUG